UCGAGGAUCUUCGGCAAUGGGCGAAAGCCUGACCGAGCGACGCCGCGUGCGGGAUGAAGGCCUUCGGGUUGUAAACCGCUGUCGUAGAGGAGGAAAUACAGGGGGGUUCUCCCCCUUGUUUGACCUAUUCUAGGAGGAAGUACGGGCUAAGUUCGUGCCAGCAGCCGCGGUAAGACGAACCGUACGAACGUUAUUCGGAAUUACUGGGCUUAAAGGGUGCGUAGGCUGCGCGGAAAGUUGGGUGUGAAAGCCCUCAGCUCAACUGAGGAACUGCACUCAAAACUGCCGUGCUCGAGGGAGACAGAGGUGAGCGGAACUCAAGGUGGAGCGGUGAAAUGCGUUGAUAUCUUGAGGAACACCGGUGGCGAAAGCGGCUCACUGGGUCUUUUCUGACGCUGAG
This 400-nucleotide ribosomal RNA is filed under the name uncultured bacterium. RNAcentral describes it as "bacterial SSU rRNA". It matches the Rfam family "Bacterial small subunit ribosomal RNA", at positions 355 to 750 of the family's 1533-position model. The record is from RNAcentral.